This 28-nucleotide small RNA is filed under the name Bombyx mori (domestic silkworm). RNAcentral's name for it is "ovarian small RNA-26264". The record is from RNAcentral. Lineage: Eukaryota; Metazoa; Arthropoda; Insecta; Lepidoptera; Bombycidae.
UCAUGGUUAUAUUUUUUACAGAAAGUGC